GUUUGGGUUUUGUGCUAAUUAUUUUAGAGAAUAGAUGAGUUUGAAUGAAUGAGGCAAUUAAAAACAAGAGAGAUUCUUAGCUUAUCUGUGCAUAUUUUCAAGUGUCAUCAGCUGCUGAAC
This is a long non-coding RNA of Octopus sinensis (East Asian common octopus), 120 nucleotides long. RefSeq lists it as uncharacterized. The transcript has 3 exons. Lineage: Eukaryota; Metazoa; Mollusca; Cephalopoda; Octopoda; Octopodidae. The record is from RefSeq and is a predicted model, not a curated record.